This 45-nucleotide non-coding RNA is filed under the name Schistosoma haematobium. Lineage: Eukaryota; Metazoa; Platyhelminthes; Trematoda; Strigeidida; Schistosomatidae. The record is from RNAcentral.
AUCCACCUGACGAGUCUAAGAUGGAACGAAACGCACGUCCUGGAU